CCCGCACAAGCGGUGGAGCAUGUGGUUUAAUUCGAUGGUACGCGAGGAACCUUACCAGGGCUUGACAUGUGCCGGAAGCGCACCGAAAGGUGCGUGCCGCUUGCGGCCGGCGCACAGGUGCUGCAUGGCUGUCGUCAGCUCGUGCUGUGAAGUGUUGGGUUAAGUCCCGCAACGAGCGCAACCCCUGCUGCCUGUUGCCACCACGAGAGGUGGGGACUCAGGCGGGACCGCCGGUGACAAACCGGAGGAAGUGGGGACGACGUCAAGUCAUCAUGGCCCUUAUGUCCUGGGCUACACACGUGCUACAAUGGCCGGUACAGAGCGCAACGAGGCCGCGAGGACAAGCGGAUCCCUUAAAGCCGGUCGCAGUUCGGAUUGAAGUCUGCAACUCGACUUCAUGAAGCUGGAAUCGCUAGUAAUCGUGGAUCAGCCAAGCCGCGGUGAAUACGUUCCCGGGCCUU
RNAcentral lists this ribosomal RNA (461 nucleotides) under uncultured Spirochaeta sp. Its description in RNAcentral is "bacterial SSU rRNA". It matches the Rfam family "Bacterial small subunit ribosomal RNA", at positions 920 to 1382 of the family's 1533-position model. The record is from RNAcentral. Lineage: Bacteria; Pseudomonadati; Spirochaetota; Spirochaetia; Spirochaetales; Spirochaetaceae.